Molecule: long non-coding RNA, 1952 nt
Organism: Amphiprion ocellaris (clown anemonefish)
Lineage: Eukaryota; Metazoa; Chordata; Actinopteri; Pomacentridae
Source: Ensembl
GAAGUAUUGAUCAGAAUACUUAUGGUUAGCAGUCAUCCCUGAAGUUUUACAUUCAAAUCUUUACUUGUGUUGUGAACUUUGGUAAGAAGCAGAAACUUUAGCGUUGCCAUGGAUACAUGAGUGUUAAAUUCUGUCCAUGUUUCCAUUUUGGGAAAUUCAGUCCAGCAGAUGAGUUUGUUUUUACUGCCAGCUACCAUUCAGUCUGAGAUAUUAAGAAUAAAUAAAUAAAUAAAUGUGCAUAAUGUGGAAAUGAACAGAUUUUAUUUUUAUUUAUUCCUACAGCAUGUAAAGUUCCAGAAUGUGGAGGAAUUUAGUCUCACAAUCACAGACAAUAAAUAUUAUCUGAAAGUCGGGUUAUUAUUGUUUAUCAGCACAAUACAAAAAGAUUCAUGUUAGAAAUAUUCCAGUUAAGACUCUAGAAUAUCAUGAUUUAUGUAAAUUUACCUCAAUAAUAUGAAUGUUCAGGUUAAGAUUGUGCAGUGAUAUUUAUUAUGUAAGUUUAGCUGAUUAAAGUUUAUGACGCUGCACUACAAUAUUUAUUAUUUAAAUUUACAUCAUUAUUAUAAUAUUUAGGCUCAGACCCUACAGUACUGAGAUUAAGAAAUCAAAUAUUCUAUAAAAUCUAAAUACACUGAACUCAUUUGGAUAUAUUUAAGUGAGACUCUACAAUAUUAUUUAUGACACAAAUCUAUCUAAAUCAAAAUUUUAAUCAUUUUUACUCCAAACAUUUACUGGACUGAUUUAAAUAUUAAAAUCACUCCUUUCUAAUCCUCUGCUGUAUGUUCAAACCUGAGGCCUUAAAUAGAAACACACAAGUAUCUGAUUGAAGGAACUUCUGCAGAGUCCUGGUUCCACAACAUGAUGAUAGAAUUAUAGACAAACUUUAACAAAAGCUGCCUGAGAGUUUACAGCUUUUUAUGUUAGAUUUCUUCAGUAAUUUAAUGAGAGUUAUCAGCAAAAAUCAGGUGUUCAUUUGAUGAACUUCAUUUCCUAAAACAUCCAGAAUUGGAGCUCAUAUCUUUGGCAGCUGUAAAGUUUCUGCUCCUUCAAAGUUCACAACACAAUGAAUGAAUUCCUAAAACACUCUCAAUGCUGGAGAGCGUUUGAUGCUGAAGCAGUGACCAGUUUUUCUGUUUCUUCUCUGGAGAUGCACAAUGAGGGACAUCUGCAGAGACUGAGAAAGAGUCUCACCACAUCCUGACAUGAGGAAAAAGACUUUAUUGAAGACUACAAUGAGAAAAACUAUCAGACAGCAGACGGCUGCAUUCAAGAUGUUAAGCUAAAGGAGUUUUAUUGGUGACGUCUAACCAAUCAAAUCACUCCAGAAGACAGAGCGACCACAGGCCUCCGUUGACUCGUCCCACCUGCCGUCUCUGGAAGCUGAAGCUGGAUUGGAACAGACCAAAGUACAGUCCAAUCACGAUGCCAGCUGCCUCUCAAAAGGCUCCUUCAUCUGGCAGGUGGCAGCACUUCUUCUGAGGGGAAGCUGAGCUGGUCCAGCAGAACUUUGGAGAUGUGUUCCAGUGGUUGGUGGAUGUGUGGGGAGAUAGAGAGGGACCUUUGAAUUAUUCAGAAAGGAAAACAGGGAACCCAUUGGUAGUUUUAGUUUAGGCUGCUACUGAGGUGUGUUUUUGGGUUUUAAGAGGUGAACAGGAAGAGUUUUUUUCCUAUUGAUUACCUUUUACUUUGUUCCUGGUUGGAAUGCCCAUCAAUGUCAACAUGAAGUUCACUUUUAGUUCUGUUUAUUUAUUUUUAUUUUACUAACACCCAUUUGCUUUUAACCCCUCACAUGUUGUGUUGUUCUAAACUUCCUCUUUCAAAUAAAUACUCGUCUAACCCUCUGGAAACCAGCGUUUGGACUGUUUUUGUGUUGCUCCUCACCUCCUUCAGACAGCCGGGACAAAACAACGUUUUGUGGACUGAAGGCUUUUCUAUGACGAUUUUAGAGCUAC